AGGUCGUGUUGAGGGUAAUUCCUUAUCAUUCGCUUGUACCUCUCCCAAGCUUCGUACAAAGAUUCACCAUCAUGUUGUUGGAAGUUUGCGAUAUUAUUUUCAACUU
Lactuca sativa (garden lettuce) is the source of this 106-nucleotide small nucleolar RNA. Lineage: Eukaryota; Viridiplantae; Streptophyta; Magnoliopsida; Asterales; Asteraceae. The record is from RefSeq and is a predicted model, not a curated record.